RNAcentral lists this ribosomal RNA (1666 nucleotides) under Rhipicephalus microplus (southern cattle tick). Its description in RNAcentral is "SSU rRNA". It matches the Rfam family "Eukaryotic small subunit ribosomal RNA". The record is from RNAcentral. Lineage: Eukaryota; Metazoa; Arthropoda; Arachnida; Ixodida; Ixodidae.
UCUUGGAUAACUGUGGCAAUUCUAGAGCUAAUACAUGCAGUGAGCCUGGAGCCCUUUGGGUAACGGGUGCUUUUAUUAGACCAAGAUCGAUCGGGUUUCGGCCCGUAUUGUGUGGUGACUCUGGAUAACUUUGUGCUGAUCGCAUGGCCACGAGCCGGCGACGUUUCUUUCAAGUGUCUGCCUUAUCAACUUUCGAUGGUAGGUUACUUGCUUACCAUGGUUGUUACGGGUAACGGAGAAUCAGGGUUCGAUUCCGGAGAGGGAGCCUGAGAAACGGCUACCACAUCCAAGGAAGGCAGCAGGCGCGCAAAUUACCCACUCCCGGCACGGGGAGGUAGUGACGAAAAAUAACAAUACGGGACUCUUUUGAGGCCCCGUAAUUGAAAUGAGUACUCUAAAUCCUUUAACGAGGAUCAAUUGGCAAGUCUGGUGCCAGCAGCCGCGGUAAUUCCAGCUCCAAUAGCGUAUACUAAAGCUGCUGCGGUUAAAAAGCUCGUAGUUGGAUCUCAGUUCCAGACGAGUAGUGCAUCUACCCGAUGCGACGGCUCGGACUGAACAUCAUGCCGGUUCUUUCUUGGUGCACUUCAUUGUGUGCCUCGAGAUGGCCGGUGCUUUUACUUUGAAAAAAUUAGAGUGCUCAACGCAGGCGAGUCGCCUGAAUAAACUUGCAUGGAAUAAUAGAACAAGACCUCGUUUCUGUUCUGUUGGUUUUUGGAAUACGAGGUAAUGAUUAAGAGGGACGGACGGGGGCAUUCGUAUUGCGGCGCUAGAGGUGAAAUUCUUGGACCGUCGCAAGACGAACUACUGCGAAAGCAUUUGCCAAGAAUGUUUUCAUUGAUCAAGAACGAAAGUCAGAGGUUCGAAGGCGAUCAGAUACCGCCCUAGUUCUGACCAUAAACGAUGCCAACCAGCGAUCCGCCUGAGUUACUCAAAUGACUCGGCGGGCAGCUUCCGGGAAACCAAAGUAUUUGGGUUCCGGGGGAAGUAUGGUUGCAAAGCUGAAACUUAAAGGAAUUGACGGAAGGGCACCACCAGGAGUGGAGCCUGCGGCUUAAUUUGACUCAACACGGGAAAACUUACCCGGCCCGGACACUGGGAGGAUUGACAGAUUGAGAGCUCUUUCUUGAUUCGGUGGAUGGUGGUGCAUGGCCGUUCUUAGUUGGUGGAGCGAUUUGUCUGGUUAAUUCCGAUAACGAACGAGACUCUAGCCUAUUAAAUAGGUGCGGGGUUCCCAGCACCUUACAACCUUCUUAGAGGGACAAGCGGCUCCUAGCCGCACGAAACAGAGCAAUAACAGGUCUGUGAUGCCCUUAGAUGUCCGGGGCCGCACGCGCGCUACACUGAAGGAAGCAGCGUGUCUUUAUCCCUGUCUGAAAAGACUGGGUAACCCGUGGAACUUCUUUCGUGAUUGGGAUAGGGGCUUGCAAUUGUUCCCCUUGAACGAGGAAUUCCCAGUAAGCGCGAGUCAUAAGCUCGCGUUGAUUACGUCCCUGCCCUUUGUACACACCGCCCGUCGCUACUACCGAUUGAAUGAUUUAGUGAGGUCUUCGGACCGAUGUCCGGCGCGGCCUUUCGGUUGCGCCGGUCUGUUGGAAAGAUGACCAAACUUGAUCAUUUAGAGGAAGUAAAAGUCGUAACAAGGUUUCCGUAGGUGAACCUGCGGAAG